Labrus mixtus (cuckoo wrasse) is the source of this 985-nucleotide long non-coding RNA. RefSeq lists it as uncharacterized. Lineage: Eukaryota; Metazoa; Chordata; Actinopteri; Labriformes; Labridae. The transcript has 2 exons. The record is from RefSeq and is a predicted model, not a curated record.
GCUCAGCAGUGGUGCAGCACAGAAAAGUAAAUACUGAAAAAAACAGCCAGAAACACAGCCUUAAGCUUGGCCUCAGACAGAACAGUGCAUCCCCGUGGCCAUGACACCGCUGUCUGAAUAACAUGCUUGUUAGGAAUCUCCCUUGAUGUCAGUCGCUGCACAGAGGGGAUGAAAGCGGGCGAAUGAAAGAGAGGCCAAAAGCCAUCAGAUGCGUCUUCGCGAGCCGCCUUUGGCUUCAAAGGCAAACCUCGGGCGCUGUGACGGAGAACAACAGCUGACGACGUCACGGAGGACACAGGACAUUAAAACCAAAAACCUCCAUGCUGCUCCCAAAGCAACUCUGAGAGCACAAACAAGGAGGAACAACAAAGAUGCAGAAGAGGAGUUGAGGUUAAAUGAGGAAGAGAGAGGGAAAAACAAGGAGACCCAGAGAGCCAGGAAAGGGUUCAUGGGGGUCGGUGUGUGCACACAUCAGGGUGGCAGAGAGAUCAGAGCUCCAGAGAGCGUUCCUGUGUUUGGGAUAGGAGGGAAAGAUAAAUAAGCCAGGAUGACUGCACAAAGAGAGGCAAGGAGGAAAUGGGAAUGUUGAGAUACCGAAAGGAAAGUCCGUGUCUCUCUCUCUCUCUCUUACAAACACACACACACAUAUGGGUUCAGAUGGCGCUAAGGGGUAAACAGACAUGUGUGUGUGUGUGUACACGUGUGUGUUCUGUUACCAUGGAACACGAGUUUAAGAAGUUUGUUAUGGAUUUGUUUUCUAAAUGACAGGCCUUCACAACAACUCCCUCCACUGCUGCGUGCCAGUAGAGAGCGUAUGUUUUACAUCAUGACUCUGUCUGCUGCUUUGCAGUUAAAAAAAAGGUUUGGCCAUUCUGUAUCCUAGCAUGAGAGCCUUUCCUCUCCUGCGCAUUUCUUACAGUGAAAUCAACUCCGAACCUGCUAUUUUCUUGGAGGUAAACAUGUAGAUAAACUGUGUUGCUUCAAA